GUCGAGAAUAAUUCACAAUGGACGAAAGUCUGAUGGUGCAACGCCGCGUGGAGGAUGAAGGUCUUCGGAUUGUAAACUCCUGUCAUCGGGGAGUAAGACCUGGCGGUAAAUAGCCGACAGGGUUGAUAGUACCCGAAGAGGAAGGGACGGCUAACUUCGUGCCAGCAGCCGCGGUAAUACGAAGGUCCCAAGCGUUGUUCGGAAUCACUGGGCGUACAGGGAGCGUAGGAGGCGUGGUAAGUCAGAUGUGAAAUCCCGGGGCUCAACCUCUGAACUGCAGCCGAUACUGCCAUGCUUGAGGGCUGGAGAGGUAACUGGAAUUCUCGGUGUAGCAGUGAAAUGCGUGGAUAUCGAGAGGAACACUCGUGGCGAAGGCGAGUUACUGGACAGCAUCUGACGCUGAGGCACGAAGGCCAGGGGAGCGAAAGGGAUUAGAUACCCCAGUAGUCC
This 450-nucleotide ribosomal RNA is filed under the name uncultured bacterium. RNAcentral's name for it is "partial 16S ribosomal RNA". It matches the Rfam family "Bacterial small subunit ribosomal RNA", at positions 354 to 796 of the family's 1533-position model. The record is from RNAcentral.